This 200-nucleotide ribosomal RNA is filed under the name uncultured bacterium. RNAcentral's name for it is "partial 16S ribosomal RNA". It matches the Rfam family "Bacterial small subunit ribosomal RNA", at positions 28 to 221 of the family's 1533-position model. The record is from RNAcentral.
GACGAACGCUGGCGGCGUGCCUAACACAUGCAAGUGGAGCGACGAACCGGGCUUCGGCCCGGGGCAAAGCCGCGAACGGGUGAGUAACACGUGGGUAACCUGCCCUGAUGAUUGGGACAACCCGAGGAAACUCGGGCUAAUACCAGAUGUGCCCUCCGACCAUAAGGUUGAUGGGGAAAGGAAGCUUCGGCCACCGCAUC